Molecule: long non-coding RNA, 472 nt
Organism: Agrilus planipennis (emerald ash borer)
Lineage: Eukaryota; Metazoa; Arthropoda; Insecta; Coleoptera; Buprestidae
Exons: 4
Source: RefSeq, a predicted model, not a curated record
CGACGAUCACUAAACCGGCUUCUCGGUUUUUUAUCCCAAUACUUUAUUCGCCGACGGCAGUCAACGUAAUUCCACCGAAACGAAUAGGUUGGCAUUGGUCAUUGAGCUUGUCUAUGGUCAUUGAGAGGGAGUAAACGAUCGGUGUCAAAACAACCGACCGAAGUAGCUAACUGAAUUUACCAUAGACAUGGACAUGUCUAUGGAACUUAGUUUAAAACAAUUUAAUUGUUUUAUUAACAAAGAAAAACGAUAUAUUCCAGUAACAUACUUUAGAGUAGUGGGGGAAAAAAUAUAAGUAUUUGAAUAGUAAACAAUCAGUGCGCCUGCUCAAUAAUCAGGUGGAUGUUAUUGUGAAGUGCGGAUGUUAUUAAACAACUAUUUAUCUAAUGGAGGCUUAGGUUUACUAGACUUGCGAUGACCACUGUGACCUUUCUUAUCAUCUUCUGGAUCAAUUACACGUAAUGCCUCUUCA